GCCCUCUCUUAGAUUCCCUUGAGGGAAACUCAGGCUAUGGCCGUGGUGAUUACUUUCUUGUUGGUCAUGACUUCUCAACCUACAUGGAUGCACAGGCAAGAGUAGAUGAAGCUUACAAGUAAGUAACUGAUUCUAUUUCCCCUCCCUUAGCUGGUUGUUUAGACUCGAUGAUGCUGCUAAUGCUACUUAUCUGAUGCUGCAAUAUGCAAGAUUAUUAUUAAUUAUUUGAAACUUGGAUAUUUUAGUUCAACAGAUUAAUCAAUUCAAGAAAGGAUCAAAAGUUGUUCCUCAAUCAUGGAAAUUUUGUCUAGAUAAUUAGGUUUCCUCUGAUGGUCCUACUGCUAGAUUGGUUUGCUACUUAUCAAAUUUUUUCAUGGGUUAAAAUAGCUUGAGCAAGUUCUGGUAGGGAGGGAGAGAUUUGUUCCUUGAUAGCCGGUUAGGCACUAUUUCUUUCUCAUAGAAGAUAACCUGUGUAUUCUUAUUAUAUAAUUUGAUACACUCAGCUUCAACUAGAUUUUUGGUGAGGCAUCGUGUCCAAUAUAUAUUGAAUAAUUGACUAAAGCCUCUAUCCUUUGAGUCUUUGUAAACUUCAACUUCCAAUAGCUUCAAGAUUUAUCGAAAGCGUGCCUUGAACAAUCAAAAUCGAGUUAAAAUUUUUUUUGGGCUGCUUAUUGAUUAAAAAAUCAAUCUUAAACCAUCCAAGUAAAAAACAAGAUUUGUCUGACAACAUACAUAUUCUGCAGGGACCGAAAGUUGUGGCUGAAGAUGUCGAUAUUGAGCACAGCUGGGAGUGGAAAAUUCAGCAGUGACCGAACAAUUGCCCAGUAUGCCAAAGAAAUAUGGAAUAUACAGGAGUGCCGUGUACCAUAAGUUCAACAUUCUAGGUCCACCUUGUCUUAAAUUAAAGGAAAUAAGAAUCUGUAUGACGCUAGGUAAUCUCAGUUAUUUCUCUACUUCAACCCUCUUCUUCUUGCUGGUAUCAGUAACACUAGCGGUUUACAGUAUACAACUUUUCAUGUAAUAUCG
This 1026-nucleotide long non-coding RNA is filed under the name Cucumis sativus (cucumber). RNAcentral's name for it is "long non-coding RNA (CSAT_LNC002310)". The record is from RNAcentral. Lineage: Eukaryota; Viridiplantae; Streptophyta; Magnoliopsida; Cucurbitales; Cucurbitaceae.